Molecule: ribosomal RNA, 755 nt
Filed under: Salmonella enterica subsp. enterica
Lineage: Bacteria; Pseudomonadati; Pseudomonadota; Gammaproteobacteria; Enterobacterales; Enterobacteriaceae
Description: partial 23S ribosomal RNA
Rfam family: Bacterial large subunit ribosomal RNA
Source: RNAcentral
GGGUUGUGAGGUUAAGCGACUAAGCGUACACGGUGGAUGCCCUGGCAGUCAGAGGCGAUGAAGGGCGUGCUAAUCUGCGAUAAGCGCCGGUAAGGUGAUAUGAACCGUUAUAACCGGCGAUACCCGAAUGGGGAAACCCAGUGUGACUCGUCACACUAUCAUUAACUGAAUCCAUAGGUUAAUGAGGCGAACCGGGGGAACUGAAACAUCUAAGUACCCCGAGGAAAAGAAAUCAACCGAGAUUCCCCCAGUAGCGGCGAGCGAACGGGGAGGAGCCCAGAGCCUGAAUCAGCAUGUGUGUUAGUGGAAGCGUCUGGAAAGGCGCGCGAUACAGGGUGACAGCCCCGUACACAAAAGCGCAUGUGCUGUGAGCUCGAUGAGUAGGGCGGGACACGUGGUAUCCUGUCUGAAUAUGGGGGGACCAUCCUCCAAGGCUAAAUACUCCUGACUGACCGAUAGUGAACCAGUACCGUGAGGGAAAGGCGAAAAGAACCCCGGCGAGGGGAGUGAAAAAGAACCUGAAACCGUGUACGUACAAGCAGUGGGAGCCCCACCACUAAGCCAGUGGUGAACUCCACAUACGCAUCCUUUGCUGAGGAUACGGUUAACGGAGCGAAAGCGACGUUCAACCGCAAAACAAGCAGAGGGGGCUUAGUGGUGGGGUGACUGCGUACCUUUUGUAUAAUGGGUCAGCGACUUAUAUUCUGUAGCAAGGUUAACCGAAUAGGGGAGCCGGAGGGAAACCGAGUCUUAAU